This 497-nucleotide ribosomal RNA is filed under the name uncultured bacterium. RNAcentral describes it as "partial 16S ribosomal RNA". It matches the Rfam family "Bacterial small subunit ribosomal RNA", at positions 28 to 507 of the family's 1533-position model. The record is from RNAcentral.
GAUGGACGCUGGCGGCGUGCCUAAUACAUGCAAGUCGAGCGAACGGACGAGAAGCUUGCUUUUCUGAUGUUAGCGGCGGACGGGUGAGUAACACGUGGAUAACCUACCUAUAAGACUGGGAUAACUUCGGGAAACCGGAGCUAAUACCGGAUAAUAUUUUGAACCGCAUGGUUCAAAAGUGAAAGACGGUCUUGCUGUCACUUAUAGAUGGAUCCGCGCUGCAUUAGCUAGUUGGUAAGGUAACGGCUUACCAAGGCAACGAUGCAUAGCCGACCUGAGAGGGUGAGCGGCCACACUGGAACUGAGACACGGUCCAGACUCCUACGGGAGGCAGCAGUAGGGAAUCUUCCGCAAUGGGCGAAAGCCUGACGGAGCAACGCCGCGUGAGUGAUGAAGGUCUUCGGAUCGUAAAACUCUGUUAUUAGGGAAGAACAUAUGUGUAAGUAACUGUGCACAUCUUGACGGUACCUAAUCAGAAAGCCACGGCUAACUACGUG